CAUCACCUCACACCUCUGUCAGCCCCGAGUGAUGCGUUCAAGGUCUGACGUCAUUCCUGCUGCAUUUACUGGACGGCUCUGUCCGUCAAGAUGACAUCAACGCUGCUUCACUUCCCUGAAAGGAGUGAGUCAGCCACUCCCGUCGGCCUGACAGGAGUAGAGGAGAGCGAAAAGAGGAGAGAAGAGAGGAGGAGGAGGGCAAACACAAGGCUGGAGGUGAGAACGAGGAUAUUCAUCUCUGCACAGCCUGAUGUUCAACAUUUUCAUCUUUUAUUCAAGCAGAAACAAGAUAUUUUUUUUCACUGCUUCUUUUGAUUUGGGCUCCUUCUUUUCAACAGAUGACAAGAAUGAAAAUGGGAUUGAUCAAACUGAAAGCCAAUGAGCAAGAAAUCAGAGAGAGACUGACCUCUGACCCCGAAGCCUUUGCAUGGAACCAUGAUAAUAAUGUCAGAGAUUAGAGGAGGGGGG
Molecule: non-coding RNA, 468 nt
Organism: Xyrichtys novacula (pearly razorfish)
Lineage: Eukaryota; Metazoa; Chordata; Actinopteri; Labriformes; Labridae
Source: the annotation of a GenBank genome assembly